This 253-nucleotide ribosomal RNA is filed under the name uncultured bacterium. RNAcentral describes it as "partial 16S ribosomal RNA". It matches the Rfam family "Bacterial small subunit ribosomal RNA", at positions 524 to 776 of the family's 1533-position model. The record is from RNAcentral.
UACGUAGGGUGCAAGCGUUGUCCGGAAUUAUUGGGCGUAAAGAGCUUGUAGGCGGUCUGUUGCGUCUGCUGUGAAAACCCGAGGCUCAACCUCGGGCCUGCAGCCGAUACGGGCAGACUAGAGUUCGGCAGGGGAGACUGGAAUUCCUGGUGUAGCGGUGAAAUGCGCAGAUAUCAGGAGGAACACCGGUGGCGAAGGCGGGUCUCUGGGCCGAUACUGACGCUGAGGAGCGAAAGCGUGGGGAGCGAACAGG